RNAcentral lists this ribosomal RNA (434 nucleotides) under uncultured bacterium. RNAcentral describes it as "bacterial SSU rRNA". It matches the Rfam family "Bacterial small subunit ribosomal RNA", at positions 355 to 787 of the family's 1533-position model. The record is from RNAcentral.
UGAGGAAUAUUGGUCAAUGGGCGGGAGCCUGAACCAGCCAAGCCGCGUGAGGGAGGAAGGCCCUAUGGGUCGUAAACCUCUUUUGUCAGGGAACAAAAGCGAGUAUGUAUACUAGUCUGAGUGUACCUGAAGAAAAAGCAUCGGCUAACUCCGUGCCAGCAGCCGCGGUAAUACGGAGGAUGCGAGCGUUAUCCGGAUUUAUUGGGUUUAAAGGGUGCGUAGGCGGCGGUGCAAGUCAGCGGUAAAAGCCCGGGGCUCAACCCCGGCGAGCCGUUGAAACUGCAGUGCUAGAGAAGGCGAGAGGUACGCGGAAUGCGCAGUGUAGCGGUGAAAUGCAUAGAUAUCACGCAGAACUCCGAUUGCGAAGGCAGCAUACCGGCGCUCAACUGACGCUGAGGCACGAAAGCGUGGGGAUCGAACAGGAUUAGAUACCC